This 229-nucleotide unclassified non-coding RNA is filed under the name uncultured fungus. Its description in RNAcentral is "sequence contains ITS1, 5.8S rRNA gene". The stretch from base 181 to 229 matches the Rfam family "5.8S ribosomal RNA", at positions 1 to 49 of the family's 154-position model. The record is from RNAcentral. Lineage: Eukaryota; Fungi.
UCUCUGUAGGUGAACCUGCGGAGGGCUCAUUACUGAGUGAGGUCCGCCGGCCCGACCUCCAACCCUUUGUGUAUCUCGACCCUGUUGCCUCGGGGGCGACCCGGCCUUCGGGCGUCGGGGCCCCCGGUGGACCACCAAACCCUGCAUCGUUGCGUCUGAGUCGAAAUAUAAAUCAAUCAAAACUUUCAACAACGGAUCUCUUGGUUCUGGCAUCGAUGAAGAACGCAGC